This 1000-nucleotide ribosomal RNA is filed under the name uncultured bacterium. Its description in RNAcentral is "bacterial SSU rRNA". It matches the Rfam family "Bacterial small subunit ribosomal RNA", at positions 344 to 1378 of the family's 1533-position model. The record is from RNAcentral.
GGAGGCAGCAGCAAGGAUUCUUCGGCACUGGGGCAAGCCUGACGAGCAACACCGCGUGGAGACGACGCCUUCGGGUUGUAAACUCCUUUCGGCCGGGGACGAAACGGACGGUACCCGCAGAAGCAGCCCCGGCUAACUAUGUGCCAGCAGCCGCGGUAUACAGAGGGGGCAAGCGUUGUCCGGAUUUACUGGGCGUACAGCGCGCGCAGGCGGAUGGUGACGUGCCGUGUGACAAGCCCCAGCUCAACUGGGGAGGGCCAUGGUAGACGCACCGUCUGGAGGCAGGGAGAGGGAUGUGGAAUACCCGGUGGAGCGGUGAAAUGCGUAGAGAUCGGGUGGAACACCAGCGGCGAAGGCGGCAUCCUGGUCCUGACCUGACGCUGAGGCGCGAGAGCGUGGGGGGCGAACCGGAUUAGAUACCCGGGUAGUCCACGCUGUAAACGAUGUGGACCCGGCGCUGGGGGGUGAUUGUGCCCUUCGGUGCCCCAGCUUACGCGAUGAGUCCACCGCCUGGGGACUACGGCCGCAAGGCUAAAACUCAAAGGAAUUGACGGGGGCCCGCACAAGCAGCGGAGCGUGUGGUUUAAUUCGACGCAACGCGCAGAACCUUACCCAGGCUUGACAUGCACCUGCAACCAGCGGAAACGCUGGUGCCUUCGAGGGUGGUGCACCGGUGCUGCAUGGCUGUCGUCAGCUCGUGUCGUGAGAUGUUGGGUUAAGUCCCGCAACGAGCGCAACCCUUGCCCCGUGUUACUUGUGUCACGGGGGACUGCCGUGGUGUUACUACGGAGGAAGGCGGGGAUGACGUCAAGUCCGCAUGGCCCCGACGCCUGGGGCGACACACACGCUACAAUGGCCGGCGGAAAGCGUUGCUACCGGGCAACCGGAUGCUAAUCGCGAAGGUCGGUCUCAGUGCAGAUUGGGGGCUGCAACUCGCCCCCAUGAAGGCGGAGUUGCUAGUAACCGCGUGUCAGCAGAGCGCGGUGAAUACGUUCCCGGG